This 848-nucleotide ribosomal RNA is filed under the name Ascochyta sp. PHY-36. RNAcentral's name for it is "eukaryotic LSU rRNA". It matches the Rfam family "Eukaryotic large subunit ribosomal RNA", at positions 73 to 939 of the family's 3401-position model. The record is from RNAcentral. Lineage: Eukaryota; Fungi; Ascomycota; Dothideomycetes; Pleosporales; Didymellaceae.
GAUUGCCCUAGUAACGGCGAGUGAAGCGGCAACAGCUCAAAUUUGAAAUCUGGCGUCUUUGGCGUCCGAGUUGUAAUUUGCAGAGGGCGCUUUGGCGUUGGCAGCGGUCCAAGUUCCUUGGAACAGGACGUCACAGAGGGUGAGAAUCCCGUACGUGGUCGCUGGCCUUCGCCGUGUAAAGCCCCUUCGACGAGUCGAGUUGUUUGGGAAUGCAGCUCUAAAUGGGAGGUAAAUUUCUUCUAAAGCUAAAUACUGGCCAGAGACCGAUAGCGCACAAGUAGAGUGAUCGAAAGAUGAAAAGCACUUUGGAAAGAGAGUCAAACAGCACGUGAAAUUGUUAAAAGGGAAGCGCUUGCAGCCAGACUUGCCUGUAGUUGCUCAUCCGGACUUUUGUCCGGUGCACUCUUCUAUAGGCAGGCCAGCAUCAGUUUGGGCGGUUGGAUAAAGGUCUCUGUCAUGUACCUCUCUUCGGGGAGAACUUAUAGGGGAGACGACAUGCAACCAGCCUGGACUGAGGUCCGCGCAUUUGCUAGGAUGCUGGCGUAAUGGCUGUAAGCGGCCCGUCUUGAAACACGGACCAAGGAGUCUAACAUCUAUGCGAGUGUUUGGGUGUCAAGCCCGAACGCGUAAUGAAAGUGAACGGAGGUGGGAACCUUUCGGGGUGCACCAUCGACCGAUCCUGAUGUCUUCGGAUGGAUUUGAGUAAGAGCAUAGCUGUUGGGACCCGAAAGAUGGUGAACUAUGCUUGAAUAGGGUGAAGCCAGAGGAAACUCUGGUGGAGGCUCGCAGCGGUUCUGACGUGCAAAUCGAUCGUCAAAUUUGGGCAUAGGGGCGAAAGACUAAUCGAA